AUUGAACGCUGGCGGCAUGCCUUACACAUGCAAGUCGAACGGCAGCAUGGAGAGCUUGCUCUCUGAUGGCGAGUGGCGAACGGGUGAGUAAAGCAUCGGAACGUACCGUGUAGUGGGGGAUAACGUAGCGAAAGUUACGCUAAUACCGCAUACGCACUGAGGUGGAAAGCAGGGGAUCGCAAGACCUUGCGCUAUACGAGCGGCCGAUGUCAGAUUAGCUAGUUGGUAGGGUAAAGGCCUACCAAGGCGACGAUCUGUAGCGGGUCUGAGAGGAUGAUCGGCCACGCUGGGACUGAGACACGGCCCAGACUCCUACGGGAGGCAGCAGUGGGGAAUUCUGGACAAUGGGGGCAACCCUGAUCCAGCCAUGCCGCGUGAGUGAAGAAGGCCUUCGGGUUGUAAAGCUCUUUCGGCCGGGAAGAAAUCGCACAGGCUAAUACUCUGUGUGGAUGACGGUACCGGCAUAAGAAGCACCGGCUAACUACGUGCCAGCAGCCGCCGCUG
This 504-nucleotide ribosomal RNA is filed under the name uncultured bacterium. RNAcentral's name for it is "partial 16S ribosomal RNA". It matches the Rfam family "Bacterial small subunit ribosomal RNA", at positions 30 to 523 of the family's 1533-position model. The record is from RNAcentral.